AACGCCAAACUAAAGAACUGUAACCUCAGGGGAGCAACGUUGGCAGGAACUGAUUUGGAAGUUGUGACCUCCAGGAAGCCAAUUUGAGGGGCUCUGAUGUGAAAGGAGCCAUCUUUGAAGAGAUGCUGACCCCCCUGCACAUGUCCCAGAGCGUCAGAUAGGGAAGAGAACACGUCGAAGAGGAAGGAAUCCAAACAUUUGUUGUGACUUUCUUCACCUCCUCCCCUUCCUGAGUUAGAAGGAAUGGUUAUUAGACAACUUCCAUUUGCA
Molecule: long non-coding RNA, 270 nt
Organism: Pseudopipra pipra
Lineage: Eukaryota; Metazoa; Chordata; Aves; Passeriformes; Pipridae
Exons: 2
Source: RefSeq, a predicted model, not a curated record